GGGGCGGUAGCUCAGCCGGUCAGAGCAGAGGACUCAUAAUCCUUUGGUCCUGGGUUCAAGUCCCAGUCGCCCUACCC
This 77-nucleotide transfer RNA is filed under the name Arthrobacter crystallopoietes BAB-32. Its description in RNAcentral is "tRNA-Met". It matches the Rfam family "tRNA". From Rfam's summary of the family: Transfer RNA (tRNA) molecules are approximately 80 nucleotides in length. Their secondary structure includes four short double-helical elements and three loops (D, anti-codon, and T loops). Lineage: Bacteria; Bacillati; Actinomycetota; Actinomycetes; Micrococcales; Micrococcaceae. The record is from RNAcentral.